UUAUGAGCUUGUAUGUUACCAUCUACGAGAGAUAGACGAUAUCGGCCCUAUGCUGAAGCGAGAUGUCAGUAAGGGUUUGUGCACAUAGUUGUGACCGUGAGUCAUCGAGCGGGUUGGCCGGUCACUGUGAUCGGGAGCCUUCGGGCCGAUCACUGUGUUUGAGAAGGAGGCCUACUUCUCAACACAAGGUUACAUGAUGCGUAGUUAUGGUACAUACACGUUAAUUGUCUGCAGACGUAUAUGAUAUUAUGAUGAUAUAUAUAGAAGUUUUACAGUUUUGGCGUGCACAGGUUAUUUAAAUAAAACUCCUGUGUGAUGCUUGAGAUGACAAGUUCAAUAUAUAGCUCUAAGAGCAAGCUUUCAAGUUAUUUUGGCAUGUGACCAUUGAGUGCUUUUGAGUACUCAGCCCUGCAUAUGUUUUCUAAAUGUGCAGGUUAAGCUGUGAUGCAGAUGGAUGUCAGCAGAGCAAAGCUUUUGAUAUAUAAGUACUAAAUUAGGCUCAGAAUUUCAUGUCUUAAUACAU
RNAcentral lists this long non-coding RNA (523 nucleotides) under Salvia miltiorrhiza (redroot sage). RNAcentral describes it as "long non-coding RNA (SMIL_LNC011617)". The record is from RNAcentral. Lineage: Eukaryota; Viridiplantae; Streptophyta; Magnoliopsida; Lamiales; Lamiaceae.